AAUAAAUUCUCUGGGAUUUUGAGCAAGGGAUCAUCAUUGAGGAAUAGAAAUAACUUCAGGUUUGGGCAUUCAAACACUUGAGGAAGCUCAGGAAUUUUGCUAUGUCGCAAAGAGAUUGAUGUGCAUUGCUCAAAAAAUUCCUUCUCUGGACAUUCUUCCAACACAGUGUGAUAUGCUAGAGUCAAGACAGGAUGAUGCUUGGCCGCAACUGAGGCUUCAAAGCUGCGAACAACAUCAUGCAUUUUCACCAAUUUAUCCUGGUCUUCUUCCAGUAACAGACAAGACCUUUUGAGGUCGUUGACAACUUUAAGCAUCUAUUUCUUGUUGUUUGGAGUGUGGUGCGUUGAUUAAAUAAGCCCAAACCCAUGCUAUAUUUCAAUAAGUCAUUAAUAGUACAAAGGUGAGAUAGUUGUCCACAAAGCAGGAACAAGGACUUUUCUUCUUCUCCUAAAAAGUUGUCACUGAAUUCUAGGGCUGAGUAAACUCUAGCUUCAAUUCCCAGGUUGUCAAAUUUUUUCAGCUCUUCCAGUGCAUCAUUCCAUUCAAAUAAUUCCUUGUUUAUCAAUGCUGUUGCAACUACUGCAAUUAAAACAGGUAGACCUGCACAUCUUCUAGCUAUUUCAACUGCUAUAGGUUUUAUAUUGGAAUCUUUCACACUACCUACCUUCUUUUCAAAUAGAUGCCAUGCAUCUUCACCCUCUAAAACUUCAAGCCGGAAAUCCCUUUGUGCGCCCAUCUCCCAAAGUACAUUUUGAUUUCUUGAAGUAACCAUUAUCUUGCAUCCUUUAUGAUCACUGCCAGAAGGAAUUCCUAUUUCCUCCAGUUUGAUUCUUUCCCAAAUAUCAUCCAGAAUUACAAGAAUUUUCUCCCCUUGUUUCAGCCUUGCACAUAACCGAGCUGCCCUUACUUCAAUGGACUCCACAUUAAAUUUGAGACUUAGCCGCUCUGCAAUUUCUUGUUGAAUUCUAUUCAGGUCUACAUUCUGGGUUACAGAUGCCAGAACCACUGCUUCAAAAAUCCCAUCAUCCUUCACUUGCUCAGCAACCUUUUUUGCUAGUGUGGUUUUCCCCACACCGCUCAUCCCGUAGACUCCACUCAGAUCAACAUCAGCAUCCUUUAGCGCCUACACAAUCCCUUUAAAAACUAAAGUUCUUGAUUCAAAUGACUCAUAAUCUUUGGCAGGCCCUAACACUGGAGGGAUGCGGUAGGAAAUUUUACCAAACUUCCCAUCUCCAAGGAACUCAGCAACAACUGUUAUCUCCUUGGAUGCUUUUCUACCAAGCUGGUGUCGUGUCUUCAAAUUAGGACAGCAUCCCAUGAAGCAGCUCUUGUUGGUUGUGUCAUAAUCUUGGAGAAUUUUGUCAGCCACUUCAAUGGCCUCAUCCACAGUCGCCAUCCACUUGUUUAUGAUGUUCUCAAUUUCUUCCCCAUUUCUUCUAGCCUCAUCCACACUGUGCUGCACGCUCUCUCUCUCACCUUUCAGCUUCUCAACUUGAUCUUUUAGGCUCUGGAUGUUGUUAUAAUAGUUCCAUAUAUAGCUAAUUUGGCGCCAAAUGGAAUCAACCAGCGGUUCAGUAAUAUUGGAUACAACGGAAUCGACGACGACGGAUUCCAUUUCCUACUUUUCUUGAUGCUACCAACAGUGAUACUGAAGUCGUCUCCACCACAGAUGUGAGAUCUCUCGACUUUAAUAAAUCCCAGAGCCAAUUGUACCAAGAGAGAGAGAGAGAGAGACUUAUGGGUGCUUGCAGAGCAUUGGACUUUGUAUUG
RNAcentral lists this unclassified non-coding RNA (1770 nucleotides) under Hevea brasiliensis (rubber tree). Lineage: Eukaryota; Viridiplantae; Streptophyta; Magnoliopsida; Malpighiales; Euphorbiaceae. The record is from RNAcentral.